AGCGAACGCUGGCGGCAGGCUUAACACAUGCAAGUCGAACGGGCUUCUUCGGAAGUCAGUGGCAGACGGGUGAGUAACACGUGGGAACGUGCCCUUCGGUUCGGAAUAACUCAGGGAAACUUGAGCUAAUACCGGAUACGCCCUUAUGGGGAAAGGUUUACUGCCGAAGGAUCGGCCGGCGUCUGAUUCGCUUGUUGGUGGGGUAACGGCCUACCAAGGCGACGAUCAGUAGCUGGUCUGAGAGGAUGAUCAGCCACACCGAGGCUAAGACACGGCCCAGAAUCCUACGGGAGGCGGGAGAGGGGGACAUUGGAACGUGGGGGCAGGCCUGAUCCAGCCAUGCCGGGUAAGUGAUGAAGGCCUUAGGGUUGUAAAGCGCUUUUGUCCGGGACGAUAAUGACGGUACCGGAAGAAUAAGCCCCGGCUAACUUCGUG
Molecule: ribosomal RNA, 435 nt
Filed under: uncultured bacterium
Lineage: Bacteria
Description: partial 16S ribosomal RNA
Rfam family: Bacterial small subunit ribosomal RNA
Source: RNAcentral